Molecule: ribosomal RNA, 560 nt
Filed under: Leptodontidium sp.
Lineage: Eukaryota; Fungi; Ascomycota; Leotiomycetes; Helotiales; Leptodontidiaceae
Description: eukaryotic LSU rRNA
Rfam family: 5.8S ribosomal RNA (bases 260-413)
Source: RNAcentral
AGGUGAACCUGCGGAAGGAUCAUUACUAGAGCAAAGGAUAGACAGCGCCCGCGGAGCUCGCUCCCGGGGCCACCCUACUCCCGUAGGGUUUAGAGUCGUCGGGCCUCUCGGAGAAGCUCGGUCCUGAACUCCACCCUUGAAUAAACUACCUUUGUUGCUUUGGCGGGCCGCCUCGUGCCAGCGGCUUCGGCUGUUGAGUGCCCGCCAGAGGACCCCAACUCUUGUUUUUAGUGAUGUCUGAGUACUAUAUAAUAGUUAAAACUUUCAACAACGGAUCUCUUGGUUCUGGCAUCGAUGAAGAACGCAGCGAAAUGCGAUAAGUAAUGUGAAUUGCAGAAUUCAGUGAAUCAUCGAAUCUUUGAACGCACAUUGCGCCCUCUGGUAUUCCGGGGGGCAUGCCUGUUCGAGCGUCAUUAUAACCACUCAAGCUCUCGCUUGGUAUUGGGGUUCGCGGUUUCGCGGCCCCUAAAAUCAGUGGCGGUGCCUGUCGGCUCUACGCGUAGUAAUACUCCUCGCGAUUGAGUCCGGUAGGUCUACUUGCCAGCAACCCCUAAUUUUUU